UGGCGGACGGGUGAGUAACGCGUGGGUAACCUGCCUUACACAGGGGGAUAACACUUAGAAAUAGGUGCUAAAACCGCAUAAGCGCACAGCUUCGCAUGAAGCGGUGUGAAAAACUCCGGUGGUGUAAGAUGGACCCGCGUCUGAUUAGCUUGUUGGCGGGGUAACGGCCCACCAAGGCGACGAUCAGUAGCCGGCCUGAGAGGGCGGACGGCCACAUUGGGACUGAGACACGGCCCAGACUCCUACGGAAGGCAGCAG
Molecule: ribosomal RNA, 258 nt
Filed under: uncultured bacterium
Lineage: Bacteria
Description: partial 16S ribosomal RNA
Rfam family: Bacterial small subunit ribosomal RNA
Source: RNAcentral